RNAcentral lists this long non-coding RNA (416 nucleotides) under Homo sapiens (human). Its description in RNAcentral is "HSALNT0261328". Lineage: Eukaryota; Metazoa; Chordata; Mammalia; Primates; Hominidae. The record is from RNAcentral.
GGCUCAUGGAGCAGGAACUUAGGGUCCUCCAGAGGCUCAUGGGAGCAGAAGCUUUGGGUCCUCCGGGGCUCAUGGGAACAGGAAUUUGGGGUGCCCCACAGGCUUAUGAGAGCAGUUUAGGGUCUGCCAGAGGCUCAUGGGAGUAGGAGUUUAGGGUCCCCCAGAGGCUCAUGGGAGCAGGAGUUUAGGGUACCCAGAGGCUAGUGGGAACAGGGGUUUGGGGUCCCCCAGAGGCUCAUGGGAGCAGAAACUUGAGUCAUCCAGAGGCUCAUGGGAGCAGGAAUUUGGGGUUCCCCAGAGGCUCAUGGGAGCAGUUUAAGGUCCCCCAGAGGCUCAUGGGAGCUGGAGUUUAGGGUCCCCCAGUGAAUCAUGGGAGCAGGAGUUUUAGGGUCCCCCAGAGGCUCAUGGGAACAGGG